RNAcentral lists this ribosomal RNA (326 nucleotides) under uncultured eukaryote. Its description in RNAcentral is "partial 18S ribosomal RNA". It matches the Rfam family "Eukaryotic small subunit ribosomal RNA", at positions 1470 to 1796 of the family's 1831-position model. The record is from RNAcentral.
CCCUUAGAUGUUCUGGGCUGCACGCGCGCUACACUGAAGCGUUCAACGAGUAUUCACCUUGCCCGGGAGGGUUGGGUAAUCUUUUGAAAACGCUUCGUGAUGGGGAUAGAUUAUUGCAAUUAUUAAUCUUCAACGAGGAAUUCCUAGUAAGCGCGAGUCAUCAGCUCGUGCUGAUUACGUCCCUGCCCUUUGUACACACCGCCCGUCGCUACUACCGAUUGAAUGGUUUAGUGAGGCCUCGGGACUGGCGCGCUCGAGUAGCAAUACACCUGCGCGCCGGGAACUUGGUCAAACUUGAUCAUUUAGAGGAAGUAAAANUCGUANCA